This 5323-nucleotide long non-coding RNA is filed under the name Capsicum annuum. RNAcentral describes it as "long non-coding RNA (CANN_LNC012285)". Lineage: Eukaryota; Viridiplantae; Streptophyta; Magnoliopsida; Solanales; Solanaceae. The record is from RNAcentral.
CAAGUUCCGCAGUCGUCUCAUUCUGUUCCGCUAUCACAUUAUCCCGGAUAGCCAGUGUUCUUUCUUCGUCAUUUCCUGUCAUUUUUGAAUGAUGGUCUGAGGAUGGGAUUUUCUGUACUUUCGAUCGGGUGAAGUAGGGAUGUUCUGCCAGUUUAUCAACACGGAGUAAUUUCUGUUAUCUGCAAAGUAAAACAACUCAAAGGCAAAUGUGGUAGUUUCCGUAUGUGAUAAGUAAUGCAAAAUAUUUGACAGAAAAUAAUCACACAAAGUUGUUCGCAUCAUAGCCAAAUUCAUCCAUAGGUCAUAGUGGAUAAACUUGCCUUUGAUCUCAACAAACGCAUAUAAGCACAUAAAACAGUUAUAUCACACAAGACAUUAAAAUAACGCGUAUCCUAAUUGGGAUGACCCUUUUUGAGCCAAGGGUUCAGGCCUAAAGAUUUUUUGAAGAAAAUAUAUGCUUCCUCAAAGUCAAUUCAUUAACCCCCAACUCAUAUAGACACAAAAAGGGCAUAAAUGCCUACAAAAGAUAACGAAACAGGAAAAAUUGUGCCUUGCAGUCGUAAGUCAUUUCUCCUAUGCUGUCGAGUUGGGAGGCCAUGCUAUCAUCCAAAUCGAUUAGGCAUUGCCUGGCAUCAUCAGCGUCUUGCCUAGCUCUUUUCAACUCUUCCCUCAACGUAUGUAUGGGCAAAGCGUCUUCCAUGUGCAUCUGCCGGUGUGCAAUUUCACUUUUAUAGAACUCAUUUUGUAGCCUGUGAAGCCGAAUUUGAUGCUCGGAUUCUACAUCCACAACCCGAGUGGGCACAUUUGGUCCCGGAUUCAAUGCUCCGGCGAGGCUUUUUUUUAACCACUCCUUGUAAGUGUCGCUGACUUCAGGUUCAUACCCUAUACGGAAAAAGACUUUUACCCACUUUUUCCUUCUCCACCCAUUUAUCAUGUAGUCUUUGAGCGAGGGCUUACUUUCAUCAUAUUCAGUGAAGAAUCUGAGUAUAGAAUCGAUUUGAGGCGUCUCCUGCUUGAUCUUGAAUUGCCUAAGAACUCUGCCAGGAUUGUAGGGGCGGGUUCCCCUGAAACCCGGGAGCACUAAAAAAGGCCAUUCGCCCCCUCGAAUGAUGUAUUUUCCUGAACGAAUAUAGUUAAGGGACCAUUGGACAUCGCCAUUUCUUAAUUCUCCAAGAGUCUUUAACCAAAAUUCGUGGGAUGCUUCCUUUUUGAACUUGUGUAAAAAUAACCACAUGUCGUGUGAUUCUAGAAGAUUUCUCCUUGUUUUGGGAUCAGGUUGUGUCGUUCUAGGAUUUUUCACCAAAUGCAUCAUCAUCCACCAUUGUAAUAUAAGGUUGCAGCCUUGAAAGAAACGAUUCUCGACUUGACAUCUUCCCAAAGCGCGAUAUAUGUCGGCGACAAUCAUAGGGGCUAAGUUAUGGAAUACUUUUUUAGAAUUGUAUUCCAUUCCAAAGAAGAGUGCAUGGGUCACUGUUACAACCCUCGAACGAAUUGUGCCAUUUUCCCCCUGCGGGAACACCAUGGUUCCAAGUAGGCCUACCGCGAAUGCAAAAGCUCUCGUUUCCUUCCAUUUUGCUUCCGUCUCCAAUUUAUGCCUAAAUUUGUGAAAAGAGUUGAAUCUUAUGAACCGAUGGUACAACUCACAAAAAGUGAUAUUUACUCCAUCCCGUUCUCCUAGCCAGGUGUCGUCAUCAGUUAAAAAUGCUUCCCUGAUCUAUUGACGAUCCUACACAUCCGGGACUAAAAUAUUCUUAUUCGGUGUCUCCUUUCUCUUAAAACACAUUUCCGUGCUCUCGUAGCAAAUCAAUACCUCUUCAAUGGUGGGGGUCAAUUCAACAUCCCCGAAGCGAAAUACCAUGUUCUGAUCAUCCCAAAAAGUUGUUAGUACAUGGAUCAUUUCGGGCCAAGCGUUCAUCUCGAUCAAAGAAGGAAGAUGCCCAAUGUGUGUUCUAACAAUCUUUCUCUCUUCUGUACCCCUGUAAUCCCACCAUAGUUUCAGGUUAUCGUCAGGUUUGGUGACCAUCUUAAACUUUUCACGGGAAUGCAAUUGAGCUAUAUCUACAUAAAAGAAGACAAAAUAAGCCUUUCCCCGACCCCAAAGGAUAAUGGAUUGAAUUUAGACAAGCAUAUAUUUCUUCAACACAUAAGCAUGGUUCAUUUGUGACUGACUCGAGGUCAAAUAGACAUAGGGCAGGUUUUCUAAUGGUCCCAAUACCCCGCUCGGAUGUUGGGUCGUCCUAGGCACAUGCCUAAAAUAGAGUUUUGGUUUCGUUCUAUCCUCGGUGUCUAGAGUGGGCUUGGACACUGGCUCUCAAGCGGACAACUUGAGUUUGAAAAUACGAACAACGUCAGACGACUCACGUGCUGAUAAGCUGUUCGUAUUUCGAACACAUUUUGAAAUUUAACAACAAAGGCCGGGACAUCUACGAAACCCCAAAACAGUUUAUAAGAUGCAGGAAAUGCCACGAGAUGCGAUAAUUAAACUUUACAUAAUCGAAACACAUAAACACAUAAACAGUUAAUCAAAGACGACAUAAAACAUUUGGUCAGAACCUAGUUAGGUCCCCAGUAGAGUCGCCAUUUCUAUUUUGCGGAGAAAUUUUGACUUUUUGAGAGAGAGUCGCCACUUAAUUUUGAAAAGAAAUUAAAAAACCUUUAUAAAAGUUACUUCAAACGAUUCAAAACAGAAAAAUCAUUUUAAGUCAGAGAAUCUAGAUAAGCGGUUCCUAUUAACGUUUUAGGAAGGUUUUAAGCACCUAAAACGUCCGCUAACUUGCGGUUAUCCAGACUGUUUGAAAAUGUCUUUGAUUAACUUUGAGAAGUUGAAUUUUUGAAAAAGAAAACCGAUUUUAGUAAUAUUUUUGUGUUUAUGCAAAACCAAUUUUUUAGCGACUUGACUAAAGAUUUAACUAGGUUCACAAAACACAUAAGGCAAACAAUCAUAAAGAAGAGGGGAAGGGGAGGAAAUGAGGGAUUUAGGCCAUUGGCCCAAACCAAGAAAACCUGUCCUAAUCUAAUUGGUCCUUCGACCCAUUUCACCUGUCCUAAUCUAGCUUUUGAGCCUUUGGCUCGAGUAUUUCUCCACCUGUAUUAAGAUAAAACUUUGGCUUCGAGGCCCAAAUAAAUAAUCGAAGGAAUAAAUGAAUACGACAAAAAUAAAUAAAUAAUGACGAAAAAUAAAUAAAUAUAAAGGAGACACGAGUCUCAUCGCCACUUCAAGAAUGGGACUUUAAUCUAUUCUUCUUUUCCAACUCAACAGGUGUAUGUGCCAUAGGAUUACUUUUGAGCUUAGAACUUCAGGCUUGACUCAAUGAUGAUGGGCCUCAGUGGCCCAUUAAGGAAUGUAAGGGGAAUGAGUACGCUUGAACUCCAGAGCGUAUUCAUGCGAAGAAAAGAAAAGUAUAGGAAUUAAUAUAUGUUCAUAGAAACAAAUUAUUCCAACAACACAGGAAAUUCUGAAAUCAAUACCCCAUACCCGAGCAUAAAAUGAAAGAUUAGGUGCAAGCUCACUGAACAAACACUCGUAUCUAAUGAUUUUAAAUUUUUAACAUAAAUAUUGAAGGGAACACGCUAUAUUACACCCUAGUGACUUUGCAUGGAGGCGUGUAUAUGAAUGAAAGGAUUCCAGUAAAAGAAAAGGCACUCUUCCUGACCUAAUAUAUUAGUUAUUUAAUUGAGAAUAGGAUAUGAUGUUGGUCUUAUUUUCUAUGCUAUUAAAUGUUGCAAUAUUUAUUAGAGGAUCGUCAGUGAAUAGUAAACCCCAACCAAUUCCCUUUGUGACAAACAGACAACUUCACAAACUUAUCAAUGAAAAACAGACGGAGGCUAAGGAAAUUUCAUCAACUGCCCAUCAAAGUGUUUAACCGUAAUACCAAACCGAACUAUUGAAUAAGAUCAAAGCAAAAAUACUCAACUACAAAACCAACGCACCGUUGAACUGAAACUAACCAAACACCAAACUUUAACAUAGGAAUCAACUAUAACAAGAUACCUUCAGCCCGAAAAUCGUCAAAACAUGCAACUUUACUGUAAAGUUAGCUACAACCGAAUACCUUCAAGUCGAAAACGAAAACGAAAACGAUCAAAACAUGAAAUUUGACAUAAAGUCGGCUAAAACCACAUAUUAUCAACCUGAAGACUAUUAAGUCACGAUACUUUAAUGAGGUCAGCUGCACAAACCUUAAGUGGUUACACAAACAUGAGAGUAUUCGAUAAAAAAUCAAUCAAUAAUGUUGUUUUUUUUUCACUAAGACAACGACCUACAGUCUUCAAGACUUCCAACAACAGACAACUCAGCAAGCAAUAUCGCUAUAAAAACUUAUAACUAGAGAAGAUUGAGAUAAAGCAGAAAUGAACAAAAUUCGAUGGAACGGGGAGUUACCUAUUUCGUGGCAGAAAACGUGACUCAAGCUAUCAGCAAAAUCGUCCCUACUGGGAGCUCGUAUUGUCGAUUCGGAAACUCUCCAAUUGAUCGACUAGCUUCCCAGAAAAAUGGACAAGAAAAUUUUAGCAGAAAAAACAAACUCUUAUUUUCAGAAUUCCCAUACCCCAACUUUCGAGCUAGCCUUUCAAUCCAACCUAAAGAUUUCUCCUUAUUCAAACCUCCAAUCUUCUCCCCUAAUUUUUUCAACCCUAAGCCUAGUAAUAGUUACCAAAAUAAAGAAAAAUCCCCAAAGAAAUAAAAAAUUUCCUCGUCUCUUCAGACCUAAUGAGAGCUAUUUAUAAAAGGGGGGGUUGAGGGUUCGUUUUUGAAUUCAAAAGAGGGUAAUACUCACAAAUUGUACCUCUAUUGAUUUUCUUGAAUGGAUUUUCAACAGAUGUCCAACAACCAUUAGGGGAAAUGGAUCAUUUUCCCAAGAACCAACGAAAAUUUGCCAAACAGGUAUGAAUUCAUACGCGUUAUCCCAAAAAUCAUGGAAUUUGGACGUUGGGGGUAACACCUCACCCUUUUUCUACAAGAUUUCAUAUCAAAAUCGUGUGGAAAAGCAUGUGACUGUGAAGAGGAAGAAGAAAAUGGGUUGGAUGCGGGUUGAGAUAAGGGGAAUCGGGGGAAAAUGGGUUGAUUUGGAUGGAUUUCGGUCGAAUGGGUCGGUGGGUUUGAAUGUUUUUUCACUGAAGCUGGGAAUUGUUGUUGUACGUUGUAUUCUUGUUCUUGGAUGGUUGUACACGUAGGUUCUUGAAGAAAAGAGGAUAAAGAUUAUGGGACUGGACCGGGUCGGAGGGAUUUUGGGACUGGGUUGGUGGGUGUAAUUGGGCUGCUGAGUUGUUGGAUUAAUUAGUGAAGGGAAUGUGCUGAUUUUGGUUUUGACUAGGUUAUGUUGGG